RNAcentral lists this ribosomal RNA (500 nucleotides) under uncultured bacterium. RNAcentral's name for it is "partial 16S ribosomal RNA". It matches the Rfam family "Bacterial small subunit ribosomal RNA", at positions 28 to 507 of the family's 1533-position model. The record is from RNAcentral.
GACGAACGCUGGCGGCGUGCCUAAUACAUGCAAGUCGUGCGGACCUUGUUGAAAGCUUGCUUUUAAAAGGUUAGCGGCGGACGGGUGAGUAACACGUGGGCAACCUGCCUGUAAGACUGGGAUAACGCCGGGAAACCGGGGCUAAUACCAGAUCGUUUUUUCUUCCGCAUGGAGGAAAAAGGAAAGGCGGCUUCGGCUGCCACUUACAGAAGGGCCCGCGGCGCAUUAGCUAGUUGGCGGGGUAAUGGCCCACCAAGGCAACGAUGCGUAGCCGGCCGGAGAGGGUGAACGGCCAGAUUGGGACUGAGACACGGCCCAAACGCCUACGGGAGGCAGCAGUAGGGAAGCUUCCGAAAUGGACGAAAGUCUGACGGAGCAACGCCGCGUGAGUGAAGAAGGCCUUCGGGUCGUAAAACUCUGUUGCCGGGGAAGAACAAGUGCCGUUCGAACAGGGCGGCGCCUUGACGGUACCCGGCCAGAAAGCCACGGCUAACUACGUG